CCUACGGGCGGCAGCAGUGAGGAAUAUUGGUCAAUGGGCGCGAGCCUGAACCAGCCAAGUAGCGUGAAGGAUGACUGCCCUCUGGGUUGUACACUUCUUUUAUAAAGGAAUAAAGUGAGGCACGUUUGCCUUUUUGUCUGUACUUACUGCAUACGGACCGGCUAACUACGUGCCAGCCGCCGCGGUAAUACGGAGGGUCCGGGCGUUAUACGGAUUUAUGGGGUGUAAGGGGAGCGUAGGUGGGAUGUUAAGGCAGCUGUGAAAGUCUGCGGCUCAACCUGGAUACUGCAGUUGAAACUGGUUGUCUUGAGUGAAGUGGAGGUAGGCGGAAUUCGGGGUGUAGCGGUGAAAUGCGUAGAUAUCACGAAGAACACCGAUGGCGAAGGCGGCCAACUGAGCUGCAACUGACGCUGAGGCUCGAAAGUGUGGGGAGCAAACAGGAUUAGAUACCCGAGUAGUC
This 460-nucleotide ribosomal RNA is filed under the name uncultured bacterium. RNAcentral describes it as "partial 16S ribosomal RNA". It matches the Rfam family "Bacterial small subunit ribosomal RNA", at positions 338 to 795 of the family's 1533-position model. The record is from RNAcentral.